This 393-nucleotide ribosomal RNA is filed under the name uncultured archaeon. Its description in RNAcentral is "bacterial SSU rRNA". It matches the Rfam family "Archaeal small subunit ribosomal RNA", at positions 85 to 480 of the family's 1478-position model. The record is from RNAcentral.
ACUGCUCAGUAACACGUGGAUAACCUGCCCUUAGGUCUGGCAUAACCCCGGGAAACUGGGGAUAAUUCCGGAUAGAUCAUGGAUGCUGGAAUGCCCUGUGAUCCAAAGCUUUUGUGCCUAAGGAUGGGUCUGCGGUCUAUCAGGUUGUAGUGGGUGUAACGUACCUACUAGCCUACGACGGAUACGGGUUGUGGGAGCAAGAGCCCGGAGAUGGAUUCUGAGACAUGAAUCCAGGCCCUACGGGGCGCAGCAGGCGCGAAAACUUUACAAUGCGGGAAACCGCGAUAAGGGGACACCGAGUGCCAGCAUCCUAUGUUGGCUGUCCAUAUGUCUAAAUCACAUGUGUUAGCAAGGGCCGGGCAAGACCGGUGCCAGCAGCCGCGGUAAUACGAU